This 1098-nucleotide long non-coding RNA is filed under the name Vitis vinifera (wine grape). RNAcentral describes it as "long non-coding RNA (VVIN_LNC000039)". The record is from RNAcentral. Lineage: Eukaryota; Viridiplantae; Streptophyta; Magnoliopsida; Vitales; Vitaceae.
CUCUCUCAUUUGAUUCCCACCGCCUCUCCUUUUUCUUCUCCGCAUUGCACACCCCUCAAUCGCUCAAAUCUCCAGUAGUCUCCGGCGCCUCCACCGGCUCUGGCCAGUACUUCGUUGAUCUUAGGCUCGGAACCCCACCUCAGAAACUCCUCCUCGUGGCCGACACCGGCAGCGAUUUAGUGUGGGUCAAGUGCUCCGCUUGCCGAAACUGCACCAGACACACACCGGGAUCAGCCUUCUUGGCUCGCCACUCCACCACAUUCUCCCCCAACCACUGUUACGACUCGGCGUGUCAACUCGUUCCCCUCCCAAAACACCAUCGCUGCAACCACGCCCGCCUCCACAGUCCCUGUCGCUACGAGUACUCCUACGGCGACGGAUCCAAAACUAGUGGGUUUUUCUCCAAAGAAACGACGACGUUGAACACCAGCUCCGGCAGGGAAGCCAAGCUGAAAGGGAUAGCUUUCGGGUGUGCGUUUCGGAUCUCUGGUCCCAGUGUUUCGGGUGCGAGCUUCAACGGUGCGCACGGAGUCAUGGGCCUGGGCAGAGGACCCAUCUCCCUAUCUUCUCAACUGGGUCACCGAUUUGGUAACAAGUUCUCAUAUUGUCUCAUGGAUCACGACAUUUCACCAUCUCCAACGAGCUAUCUUCUAAUCGGCAGCACCCAAAACGACGUCGCCCCCGGAAAACGCAGAAUGCGCUUCACACCACUCCAUAUCAACCCUCUCUCCCCCACAUUUUACUAUAUAGGGAUCGAAAGCGUCUCCGUCGACGGCAUCAAAUUACCGAUCAACCCCUCCGUCUGGGCCCUCGACGAACUGGGUAACGGCGGCACCAUUGUCGACUCCGGCACCACCCUCACCUUCCUCCCCGAACCAGCCUACCUCCAGAUCCUAACGGUUAUAAAACGGCGCGUGAGGUUACCGAGUCCAGCUGAGCCGACUCCGGGUUUCGAUCUGUGCGUGAACGUGUCAGAAAUCGAACACCCGCGUCUACCCAAACUGAGUUUCAAACUCGGAGGUGACUCGGUGUUCUCGCCACCUCCAAGAAACUACUUCGUGGAUACGGACGAGGACGUGAAGUGCUUGGCGUUACAGG